CUUUGAUUUAUUUUUUAUUUUAAUUUUUUUAUUUUUUAUUUUUUGAUAAUUAAGGGAAUAAUAGAUGUUGUCAACUUCAUAAAUCACACCUUAACUGAUUAUGAAUUUGCUCUGACACUUGGCCAUCAGUAUGAACACAGGGUGAACCUCUUACCAGUGAAAACCACCUACAGAAGCUCAGUCGUGCAAAGAGCCAUUGCAGUGGUAGGAUCACACACGCAGUGAUGAUCUUUACCUUGAUAACAGCUUUACUGCUCUGCAGCUUCAGUAAGUACUGACUUUAAACUACUCCACAGCAGUUUAUAUCAAUGCAUUGGUUUGGUUCCUGUUGCUUUAUCAGCCAAAGGAUUAAUAUCUCUGCUGUGUGUUUCAGGCUGGAUCGCUGACUCUCUUCCUGAGUCUCAGACGGUGGAGGUCCAGCAGGGUGAAAAAGUUACGCUGCUGUGCUCCAACUUUUCCAGUUCUCCUACACAGAUAAUCUGGUUCAGAUUCAUCAACAGAACCCAGCCCCGCUGCAUUAAUUCUUUGUUCAAGCCUUUCGAGCCAAAUUUAAAACGACAUCCAACGUCUCCACCGUCUUUCUCAAAAUCAAACAAGUGGAUUUGUCUGACUCUGGACUGUAUUUCUGCGGAUUUUACAUGAACAGACACCCAGUCAUUGUCAAUGCAACAUAUUUAAAUGUUACAGAAAAGCCUAGGGGAAUAACAAGCCUGAGGAGUGGGAUCCUGGGCAGUCUGACUGUCUUUGUUUCCAUGGUCGUCACUGGUCUGGUUGUUAAAAUCACAAAGUUUUGGACAGCUGGAGAUAACGGGUUGAAUCCACAGUGGAGAGAGAACAUGAGCUCUGAUUACCUGAUGAGAUUGUAUUCACCAACAAUAAGAAACAGGAGGCCUGCAUCAGAGAGAGAAGAGGAGACUCAUGUUAUUUACACUGCCAGCAGAUAGACUCAGAGUGGAACUGAUGCUUUGUCAUGUUCAUUUGCCAUAGUGAUUUUUAUGUAAAAGUGAAUAUCAUAUAUAGAUGUGAAAUCUGCAGCCUUUGAGA
Lates calcarifer (barramundi perch) is the source of this 1044-nucleotide long non-coding RNA. RefSeq lists it as uncharacterized. NCBI's taxonomy places the organism in Eukaryota, Metazoa, Chordata, Actinopteri, Centropomidae. The record is from RefSeq and is a predicted model, not a curated record. The transcript has 4 exons.